UAUCCUACAACCAACUAAAAUCUACUAACAUGGCUCUUACUAUGUUACUUAAUAAAUUAUAUAUUAAGUACAUAAUUACAUUAUUUUCAUAUAGUAGCCGAACCACAACACGAUACCGCUUUGUACUUACGAUCUUGUAUCCACUGACUGUCUUGUUAGAUUAAUCCAAUAAAUUUCAUUCACUCCGCAUACUCAAUCCUAUAGACACCCUUUUAAUUCUUCAAUCACAGACGUAACUCGAUUUCACAAAACAGUCAAGAGUAAUCAAA
This 269-nucleotide long non-coding RNA is filed under the name Physcomitrium patens. RNAcentral's name for it is "long non-coding RNA (PPAT_LNC009076)". The record is from RNAcentral. Lineage: Eukaryota; Viridiplantae; Streptophyta; Bryopsida; Funariales; Funariaceae.